RNAcentral lists this ribosomal RNA (408 nucleotides) under uncultured bacterium. Its description in RNAcentral is "partial 16S ribosomal RNA". It matches the Rfam family "Bacterial small subunit ribosomal RNA", at positions 28 to 526 of the family's 1533-position model. The record is from RNAcentral.
GACGAACGCUGGCGGCGUGCUUAACACAUGCAAGUCGAACGAAGUGGCGAACGGGUGAGUAACGCGUAAUCAACCUGCCCUUCAGAGGGGGACAAGAGUUGGAAACGACUGCUAAUACCGCAUACUGAAGGAGGGGACUGCGUCUGAUGAGCUAGUUGGCGGGGUAAUGGGCCACGAGGGCGAUGAUCAGUAGCCGGUCUUGUAGGAUGAACGGCCACAUUGGGACUGAGAAACGGCCCAGACUCCUACGGGAGGCAGCAGGGGGGAAUCUUCCGCAAUGGACGAAAGUCUGACGGAGCAACGCCGCGUGAGUGAUGACGGCCUUCGGGUUGUAAAGCUCUGUUAAUCGGGACGCGGUACCGGAAUAGAAAGCCACGGCUAACUACGUGCCAGCAGCCGCGGUAAUAC